CACACCCACACAAAUGAUUAUUUCCUUCAUACAACUUAUCCCACUGAAAAAUGUCUGCUCCUACCAACAAUGCUACAAUCAAGUUCUAGUAACAUAACAGGUAAUUUUCUUUGAAUGUAAAGAAGCAAGAAUUAUAGAACAGCUCCUGGCCAACCUAAAGCUUCAAAAUAUCAUAUGAAUGAACUCUUAUUCCACACUUCUACCACGUCUUUACAAAACUUAUGCAAUUUACUUGACAAAAUUGUGUGUUACCCUGGAACGGAAGUUCCAAAGUCUUGGGAUUUUCAUUGGAUAUACUUAGUUUUACCAUAAGUUGGUCCUUAUUUAUUUUGUAUACCCUACAUAAACUGUUAAGAGUUGAUUUCACAUUAACAAAAAAUGUUAUUUAAACUUACUAUAAUAUACAUUUGUACAUUAACUUCAAAAUUAUUAGAUAAUAUUUUGAAAAUAAAUAUCAGAAGGCUGAAAAGUCAUCCAAUCAAAAA
Coccinella septempunctata (seven-spotted ladybird) is the source of this 485-nucleotide long non-coding RNA. RefSeq lists it as uncharacterized. The transcript is spliced from 2 exons. The record is from RefSeq and is a predicted model, not a curated record. Lineage: Eukaryota; Metazoa; Arthropoda; Insecta; Coleoptera; Coccinellidae.